UACGUAGGUCCCGAGCGUUGUCCGGAUUUAUUGGGCGUAAAGCGAGCGCAGGUGGUUUAUUAAGUCUGGUGUAAAAGGCAGUGGCUCAACCAUUGUAUGCAUUGGAAACUGGUAGACUUGAGUGCAGGAGAGGAAAGUGGAAUUCCAUGUGUAGCGGUGAAAUGCGUAGAUAUAUGGAGGAACACCGGUGGCGAAAGCGGCUCUCUGGCCUGUAACUGACACUGAGGCUCGAAAGCGUGGGGAGCAAACAGG
RNAcentral lists this ribosomal RNA (252 nucleotides) under uncultured bacterium. Its description in RNAcentral is "partial 16S ribosomal RNA". It matches the Rfam family "Bacterial small subunit ribosomal RNA", at positions 524 to 776 of the family's 1533-position model. The record is from RNAcentral.